AAAAGAAAAGAAAAGAAAAGAAAGAAACGCCGCCUCGUUCAAUUUCCACCGCCCUCGUCGUGAGAACUCGACCAAUAGAAUUAACACGGGAGUGUUCCCAACCGUCGCCAAUCCAUGGCGAUCUAGGGUUAGGGUUAGGGUUUUGGUACCUUUCUCCUUCCCCAUACAAAUCCACCGCCUAGGGUGUCUCUCCCCCUUCACCCCCACCCUCUGCGACGAUGUCCUCGGCCACGUGGCCCCGCUACGGCACCAUCCCCACCUCGCCGGAGGGGCCCUCAGCCGCCGCCGCAGACGCCGACGCCGACGCCGACGCCGACGCCGCCGCGUUCUUCACCCGCGCGAGGGCGCGGGGGAGGGCCUUCGCCGGCGCGACGCGGCCGUGGCGCGAGCUCGCCGACCCCUCGGCGUUCGCGCGCCCCUACAGCUACGGCGAGGCGGUGGAGCGCGCGCGGCGCAACCUGGGGUACUUCCGCUCCAACUACGCCCUCGUCGCCCUCGUCGUCCUCUUCCUCGGCCUCCUGUGGCACCCCGUCUCCAUGAUCGUCUUCCUCCUCCUCUUUGUCGCGUGGCUCGCCCUCUACUUCUGCCGCGACGCGCCCCUUGUCAUCCUCCGCCGCCCCCUCGACGACCGCCUCGUCCUCGCCGCCCUCGCCCUCGCCACCGUCCUCGCCCUCGUCUUCACCCACGUCGGGUUGAACGUGCUCGUCUCGCUCAUCGUCAGCGCCGCGAUCGUCGCCCUGCACGCCGCGUUUAGGGUUACCGACGACCUCUACAUCGAGGAGCAGGAGGCCGCCGACAGGGGGUUGCUCUCCGUCGUCGAGAGCCGCCACGUGCUCCCCCGGGGUGAGUGAGUGAUGCUAAUGCCCCCUCUCUCUCCUUCUCUGCUAGGGUUUCGGCUCAAGAAAACAGGAUCUGGUUAGGGUUUUGACGCAGAGCGAGACCGGAUUCUUCGCCGGCGAUUUCGGGGUUGCUUCGGGUACCUGCGUAAAAAUCGAGAUGUCUUUAUUGAAAAUUCGCACCACUAAUUCUGCAAUUAUGCUAUAAAGUAAUGAUGCAGUUUGAGGGAAUGAGAUUCGUGGUUAUGUUGGACAUAGUUAUAUUAACAUAUGAAGGGAAAUGGUCUUUCGCGCUGUACGCGGAAGAUUCCCAAUAUCAUUUGUCAGCUGAUGUAUACUCUUUUAGUUCUUUAUCUUCGUAGCACCUGUUCGAUAUUAUCAAAGUGAUUGGAGGUUCCUACAUUAACUAUUAGGGUGGUUUUGUAAUAAGAAUUGCCAUGCCACUACGGUGUGCCGUUGUGCUAGCACAAAAUAGCAUGACACGUCAAAGCUGGCGUGCCCUAGCAUGCACCCUAUUUUAUUUGUCAGCACAGUCGACAUGGACUUAUCUCGGCACAGGUGGCACGUGUUGGCCGUGCUAGACUCUGUUGAAUGGCAUAACAACUCUUACUAUGUAACAAACUGGGGUUAACUAUGCAAUCAAGACUUUUAAGUGCUUGUGGAUUAAGGUUUGCAUUACCUCUCUAUUUCCCAUAAUU
This is an RNA transcript of Ananas comosus (pineapple), 1534 nucleotides long. It is a transcript of the gene named PRA1 family protein E-like, with no coding region annotated. The transcript is spliced from 2 exons. The record is from RefSeq and is a predicted model, not a curated record. NCBI's taxonomy places the organism in Eukaryota, Viridiplantae, Streptophyta, Magnoliopsida, Poales, Bromeliaceae.